GCCGCUGUGAGAACCGCGAGCGCAGCGUGGGUGUCCAAGCCCCCGCCGACUGAUUUUCCGGCAGCCCCUCUCCUGGGAGUCUGGGCAGGCAGGCGGGGGCGUGGGGCAGAAGGAGGCUGGUUUCCAUUUUUAGGUCGAAUUCCCUUUUGGAAAGCUCCAGGCAUGUCUUUGGCACGGAUGCCCGGAGCGGGCAGGGCUCCACCCCAGCAGGCCUCGGACUCCAGGGCCAGGCGGCCAGCGCCUCCCAGCUCGCGUUCCUUUCUGUGUGUGUCCCCUUCAGCCCAGGGACCAGGGGGCAGCUGUAGCUCCAUCCUGAUGACUUAGAUCAAACGCUCCGCGUUUGAAGCUCCUGAGCGGAAGACACCAGCCCCGCGCAUACCCACCACCUCGGAGCAUCGGGUCCUGAGUCGACGACUGUGAGCCAGGCUCACGCAGAUUCGUUUCCAGUUGCCCAGAAUCUGAAAACACAUCCCUGACAGAUGAGAUGGGCACUACGACGCUGCUGGGGGAGAGACACUGAGAUGCCACCUGGCA
RNAcentral lists this long non-coding RNA (534 nucleotides) under Equus caballus (horse). RNAcentral describes it as "lncRNA (ENSECAG00000047009.1)". Lineage: Eukaryota; Metazoa; Chordata; Mammalia; Perissodactyla; Equidae. The record is from RNAcentral.